Molecule: ribosomal RNA, 320 nt
Filed under: uncultured bacterium
Lineage: Bacteria
Description: bacterial SSU rRNA
Rfam family: Bacterial small subunit ribosomal RNA
Source: RNAcentral
UGACGGUACCUGACUAAGAAGCCCCGGCUAACUACGUGCCAGCAGCCGCGGUAAUACGUAGGGGGCAAGCGUUAUCCGGAUUUACUGGGUGUAAAGGGAGCGUAGACGGAAUAGCAAGUCUGAAGUGAAAUGUAGGGGCUCAACCCCUGAACUGCUUUGGAAACUGUUGAUCUUGAGUACCGGAGGGGCAAGCGGAAUUCCUGGUGUAGCGGUGAAAUGCGUAGAUAUCAGGAAGAACACCGGUGGCGAAGGCGGCUUGCUGGACGGUAACUGACGUUGAGGCUCGAAAGCGUGGGGAGCAAACAGGAUUAGAUACCCUG